This 498-nucleotide ribosomal RNA is filed under the name uncultured bacterium. RNAcentral describes it as "partial 16S ribosomal RNA". It matches the Rfam family "Bacterial small subunit ribosomal RNA", at positions 30 to 523 of the family's 1533-position model. The record is from RNAcentral.
AUUGAACGCUGGCGGCAUGCCUUACACAUGCAAGUCGAACGGUAACAGGUCUUCGGAUGCUGACGAGUGGCGAACGGGUGAGUAAUACAUCGGAACGUGCCUAGUAGUGGGGGAUAACUACUCGAAAGAGUGGCUAAUACCGCAUGAGAUCUACGGAUGAAAGCAGGGGAUCGCAAGACCUUGGUCUACUAGAGCGGCCGAUGGCAGCUUAGGUAGGUGGUGGGAUAAAAGCUUACCAAGCCGACGAGCUGUAGCUGGUCUGAGAGGACGAACAGCCACACUGGGACUUAGACACGGCCCAGACUCGUACGGGAGGCAGCAGUGGGGAAUUUUGGACAAUGGGCGCAAGCCUGAUCCAGCAAUGCCGCGUGCAGGAUGAAGGCCUUCGGGUUGUAAACUGCUUUUGUACGGAACGAAAAGCCCCGGGUUAAUACCCUGGGGUCAUGACGGUACCGUAAGAAUAAGCACCGGCUAACUACGUGCCAGCCGCCGCCGUAA